Molecule: long non-coding RNA, 1393 nt
Organism: Nylanderia fulva
Lineage: Eukaryota; Metazoa; Arthropoda; Insecta; Hymenoptera; Formicidae
Source: RefSeq, a predicted model, not a curated record
AACGUACGCUAUAUAUUUUUACUUUUAUUUAUUUUUUUAAAUUAAAAUCAGAAUUUAAACACAUCGAAUUCCCACGUUAGAAGGAACAAAGCGAGAGCCUAGUACGAGCUGGCCGAGAGCGAUAAUAAAUUAAAGAGACACUCGGCGCGAUCGGAGAAAGACGCACAAUAACACACGCAUUCACACACUCACUCACACACAUAUACCUACACGCACAAUUGUAGCCGCGUCAACAGGCGACCCUAGAUUUUUAUGGCUUGCGCGAGCGCAGUUCUCUCCUCCUUUCUCUUCUCGGAGCUUGUUUUCGUAUUUUUUCGGGGAUCCUUCGAAAUGUAAGAACCCACACGUUGACGACGUGUCGCCGAUAAUAAUGAUAACGAUGAUGAUUUCCGUUUUCUUUUCUCACGCGCACCAAACAUCGCGUUGACGUCGCGGUUACAUUUGCGGGGAUAAAGACGACGUGUUGCCGAGAUAAGAUAAAAAAUGCGGCCGAGAGAGCGAGCGGCGCGUCAUCGUUCGACUUGACAGCGCGAGUCGUGUCUCUCCACUGACGCGGCUCCGCUCGGCGGAGAGUCCGCCAGUCCGCUCUCGUCGCCCACACAUAUCUAUUCGGCUCCCGCAGUGGAGGAUGGAGGGGAGAGAUGACAUGGAGGCCAACGCCACCGCCGGCAUCAAUUGCGGCCGCCACUGCAACUGCACGUGGAAUGUGAGUUUGGGAAAACUAAUUGGAAACUCGGUGCAACGUGUAAAGAAAAUUUGUGUGAAAGUUCAUUAAUUAGAAAGUGCAAUUAACUUAUAGAUUGAAUUGAUUUAAUAGCGUUCCUUUUUAUUCGAAUUAAUAAGACGUAGAAUCACGUAAAUCGCAAUAUAGGACGAGUGCUCGCUCUCGGAAUCACUGUCGGAGGGAAUAUUGAGAACUUCCGUUGCUUCGAGUGCCGCGGUGGCUGCUGACAGCCUCCCAAGCAUCGCCGUGUAAGCACCCAACACCCAACCGUUCAGGACAGGCGUCACCGUUCCUUCCUGAGUAAAAGAUUAACGAUAAAAAAAGGGAAAAAUAGUUUUGCACAGUCUCCGACCUUGUCGAGGGCCAAACAUGACAUCGGAUCGGGUAGCUUCGCGAUUGACAGAUUGUUGUUGGCCGAUCUGUGUGAGCUGUCGGUGCUACCGGUAUCGCUCUCAUCUCCAGCAUCUUCGUUGUCGUUGCUUUCGGUUGGCACGCAGGUCUACGAUCGGUAUAUGCGAAAAAUAUAAUAGUACUCUAGUAUAUAUUGCAUUUACAUAUUUAUUCAACUUAAAAUUAGACACGUGAGUACGUGAAAAUGAGCAAAAUUUAAGUUUAUUCCCCUAAUAGCACAACAUAUCCAAAAGAUAUUCAGAGGAUAUUCAGAGGAUA